GACGGAGGGUGCAAGCGUUGUUCGGAUUUACUGGGCGUAAAGGGCGCGUAGGCGGCGCAACAAGUCACUUGUGAAAUCUCCGGGCUUAACCCGGAGCGGCCAAGUGAUACUGUCGUGCUAGAGUGCGGAAGGGGCUACUGGAAUUCUCGGUGUAGCGGUGAAAUGCGUAGAUAUCGAGAGGAACACCUGCGGCGAAGGCGGGUAGCUGGGCCGACACUGACGCUGAGGCGCGAAAGCCAGGGGAGCGAACGGG
This 253-nucleotide ribosomal RNA is filed under the name uncultured bacterium. Its description in RNAcentral is "partial 16S ribosomal RNA". It matches the Rfam family "Bacterial small subunit ribosomal RNA", at positions 524 to 776 of the family's 1533-position model. The record is from RNAcentral.